GGGGGGGGUGGGGAAAGGAAAUUAAGAAUACAUACUGUAGAGUUUGACUAUUCUUAAAAUUUGAAAGUUGAAGUUAUCAUAUACAAAGGGCAACAUUUUGUAGGGAGGCUCUGGUUUUUGAAUCCCAUCUAUCUAUAGAUGUAUUAUUUAUGAAUAGCUUUCCACUGAGAUGGCCCAAGUUUUGUCUGGAAAUAGCAUCUUGCCAUUACCUUGUACUUCUCAGCUGUCUUAAGGAUCAGUGAGCAAAUAUAACUGUCAAACAUACAAGCUCCCCAGAGUAUUGAGGUACAUAAUAUUAUCAGCCAUGAUUUUGGCCAUUAACAUAAAAUUCUGGGGAACAUGCUUUUUUGUUUGUUUGUUUCUUUGUGUGUUUGUUUCCCAAUGGCGUGUAAAAAUGAAAUAUCAGGGUAAAAAUGUACUGAUUCACCAGGUUGAAAUCUCUCAGAAGCUGAGACAUAUUUCCAAUGGUUUCCCACAUAACUAUUUUAGACCAAAAUAUUUCUCCAGAUUGGACUUGUGCCUAAUCAUACAAUCAGAUUGCUUCAACCACCCAGAUGCUUAUGGGCAAAAAUAAUAACUCCACAUUAAGUUAUUAUUAGCUUCUUCUGUCUGAAUCAUGGCUAAGUUCUCUUUGUCUUCAGAAGUGAUAUUGGCAUAAUCAAAUUACAAUCCAUUUGAAUAUUUUCUUCCCAGCUUGUGCCCCUCUUAGCAGCUCUCAGUUAGAAAGACUCUCAUAAAUGAACGAAGCAUCCUUUCUUAAGCUUAGUCAGUUCACCCAUAGAACUUGAAACUUUCAGGAAGUCUGACCUACUGUAUAUGUUAUGGUAACAAGCUUUUUACUUAAAAAACAUUGGUAUUGGAUAUAGCUACUAUUAUUUUAGGUCUAAGGUUGUAACACUGAAGCUAAUCACCCCGGAGGAUGAGAGAUUCUGAAACAGUGAGAAUUACCUGUUACACAAGGUAUCUCAGUCAGGAUGGUCAAGUCAUUUGUGUAAGUUGGCAGUGCCCUUUAUCUUUAGAGCAUGACGUACAGGGACCACCGUAUAAAGGUGAAGUGUGUGUGCAUAUUUAAUUGGAGUGAUCAUUUGGGAAGUUUUCUUUCACUUGGUUUUAAAUAAGCUUCCAGUCUUAAGGUAACAAUUCUAAGCCACAUAAAAUCCUCUCUGUUCUGUAUCUGGACAGAAUACAGAUACGUUAAUUUGAAAUAUAGCUGUUCCAUUAUUCAGAAGGUAUGAAUCGGGUCUUACUUUUAAAGGCAGAAUUUGUGUUUUUCCAGACUAGCAGUUCAGGUUUAACAUGAGUUACUGGCCUAAUUAACUCUUUUGUGAAGUAGCUCUUUGAGGAAAUUGGGCCAAAUUAAACCCAAUUAAACUGUGAUCUUUGUUUUGUCAGUUUCCCUUCUUCCCCUAGUCCCCCCUACCCACCCCCCUUCCUGAUGCCCCUGCUUUCAAGAGUCCUGUCUCAGCCCACACUUCUUCCAGGCCUUAUGUCCAUCCAGCUAUUCAGUGAAUCUCCAAGUAAGUUUGAAUCUGAUAACUGUUUAAACAACAUCAAAGAAAUAUCACCAGUGGUGGGAUUUCAGGCAGAUGAUAGGCAGUUGGACCCAGGCGGUGUGCUGGGAAAGAAUCUGAAAUGAGGUUUAUGAAUCUACCUGCCACCUCUUAGGUUCUAAGUGUCAGAGAUGAAGGAUGUUGAGGACACCCCAUCACUCCUGUGUCUGCCUGCCACAAACUUUUCCAGACCAACCCCCAACCAAUGCCCUUAAAAUAGAAAGGCCAGAACUAUUGGCUCACUCUGACCUAGCAUUCUUGUGUCAAUAAAAUAUUAACAACUAUAAAUAACCUAAAAGGCCGUGACUGGGAAAAAUGGCAAAGCACAAGUUCAUUCUUCAGUGACAGAGAAGAGUAACAUUUUAAAUCAGAUUGAAGCACUGACAGUAUUUAAUGAAAUGUUUCUAAGCAACAAGGUAGAAGAAUCAAAGAGCUUCAAUAGACCUAACAGUCAUAGAAUAAAAAGGAAUCCAAAAAUAGUCUCACUUUCUUGUAAGCAAUUCAGUCUGGAAGGUAAAACAAACUCGUUCCCAAAACUCAGCCUAUUGAACAAUCUUCUCUUUCUAAACAUCCCAUGUAUGGUUUCAGCAUGGUAUAACCAUGUUAGUAGCCAAGUUUUAAUAUGCAUGAAAACCUUGGAGAGUAAAUACUGGGGAACAGCAAUGAUUUAAAUGCCCUGGACAUGAGAUACACCCUCUUCAACCCUUGUUAUCAAGAUAACUUACAAAUAAAAAGGAACACUCAGUACUCUCUCUUAUAUGGACUUUAGGCCCAUCUAAGUGGAAGUUUUGAUAUUCCAUUGCUAAUGACACCCUUGCUUUGUCAGCAAGAAAGACUUUCUAAAGAAAAUUUUCAAUGUCUAUAAUAGACCCAAAUAAGUACUUAGUAGAUUCAAGUUUAGAAGAGAAUAUGCCAUCUUUUCAUGUCAUCUUAAUGCCACAAAAGCAAGAAUGCUUUAAUACUUGUAGAGCCAUUUUCCCACAACUGUGUCUUUGAAAUGACAGCUUAGAAAUCCACGAAUAUUCUCAUAGCUUCCUCAAGAGAUGGCUACAGUGUGUGUGAAUGUCUAGUCUGUGCAGAAGGCUUGUGGCAUACAAAUGGGUAUUCUUGGCUCACUUUUACUCUGCACCAGAAAACAUGUAUAAUGGGCUCAAGAAAGAGAAAAAGGAGGCUGCUUUUCUGGCUGUUGGUCUGGUUGACAAACUAGUACUAGGUGCUUUGAUGUCUCUGUUUCUGCUGCCACUGGAGUUUGGUACAGGAAGUCAGGUAGGGGACCACGCAGGUCAUUUCACUAGAGAGAAAGGCAUUUAGUGAAAUCCAUCCAUCCAUCCUUCCAUCCAUCCAUCCCUCCAUCCAUGCAGGAAGCAUAGUUUUUAGAGUCAUUUAUUUAAUUAACCACUUUUUAGAAAACUCGCCAAAAAUAUGCGUUUGGGGUUUUUUUAUUUUGUUUUGUUUUUUCCUUUUGUGAUUGGUUUAUUUCACUUAGCCUGUGUCUUCAAGUUUCAUCCAUGUUGCAGCAUGUAUCAGAAUUUUCUUCCUUUUUAAGGCUGAAUAAUUGUGUAGACUUUUUUUUAUUGAAGUCUAAUUGAUUUACAAUGUUUCAAAUGUACAGCAAAGUGAUUCAGUUAUAUAUAUUUAUUCUUUUACAGAUCCUUUUCCAUCGUAGGUUAUUACAAGAUAUUGAACAUAGUUCCUUGUGCUAUGCAGUAGGUCCUUGUUGUUUAUCUAUUUUAUAUAUAGUAGUGUGUAUCUGUUAAACCCAAAUUCCCAAUUUAUCACCCCCUUCCCCUUUGGUAACCAUAAGUUUGUUUUCCAAGUCUGUGAGUCUGUUUCUGUUUUAUAAAUAAUUCAUUCGUAUUAUUUUAUAGAUUCCACAUAUAAGCAAUACCAUAUAUUUGUCUUUCUCUGUCUGACUUACUUCACUUAGUAUGAUAAUCUCUAGGUUCAUCCAUGUUGCUGCAAAUGGCAUCAUUUCAUUCUUUUUUAUGGCUGAGUAGUAUUCCAUUGUGUAUGUAUGUACCACAUCUUCUUUAUCCAUUCAUCUGUCAAUGGACAUUUAGGUUGUUUCCAUGUCUUGGCUAUUGUAAAUAGUGCUGCUGUGAACCUUGGGGUGCAUGUGUCUUUUUGAAUUAGGGUUUUCUCUGGAUAUAUGUCCAGCAGUGGGAUUCUUGGAUCAUAUGGUAGCUCUAUUUUUAGUUUUUUAAGGAACCUCCAUACUGUUCUCCAUAGCGGCUGCACCAAUUUACAUUCCCACCAACAGUGCAAGAGGGUUCCCUUUUCUCCACACCCUCUCCAGCAUUUAUUGUUUGUAGAUGUUUUGAUGAUGGCCAUUCUGACCGGUGUGAGGUGAUACCUCAUCGUAGUUUUGAUUUGCAUUUCUCUAAUGAUUAGUGAUGUGGAGCAUCUUUUCAUGUGCCUCUUGGCCAUCUGUAUGUCUUCUUUGGAGAAAUGGCUAUUUAGACCUUCUGACCAUUUUUUGAUUGUGUUGUUUGUUUGUUUGUUUUGAUAUUGAGGUGUAUAUGCCGUUCAUGUAUUUUAUAAAUUAAUCCCUUGUCAGUCUCAUCAUUUGCAAAUAUCUUCUCCCAGUGUAUAGGUGUCUUUUCAUUUUGUUUAUGGUUUCCUUUGCUGUGCAGCAAAACUACAUAUGUUGUGUGUCCACUGAAGCUCACCAGAGGUGACUCAUGAGACUGAGGGCACACAGCUCUGGUCCCAGCCUCGUGAUCACACACCUCCUGUCAAAACAACCCUGACUUCCCUCCCAGGUCAUGCCUUUAGACUCUGUAUACAAAUUCUAGAACUGUUGAUUUGAUCCUUUAAACUACCUUCAGUUUCAAAAUGAUCCACUUCACCUGCCCUGGUCCUUUUGCAUGAGUCUGCUUGGAGGACGUUUUUGAGCCAAGGGCUUGAUAUUAUGGUUCUUGUUGUUUUUAUUAUUCCUACCACUUCCUAAUAUAUCUCAGUGAACGUGUAAAGUCAUCACAAAGUAAACGGUCUAAACUUUUUAUAGAAGAUGAUGAGAUUAGCACAAUGUCCAUUUAAAAGCGCUUCCCCAGAACCCGGAAUUGAGCUGCCAGCUGCUCCCACCGUUUUCCUGAGGUCACAGUGUACCUCCACCACUUUCUUAAGCAUUGUGCAUCUUAGGUUCUAUACUAAGUACCUGAGGGAUGAUAACAUCGUGGUGUUUUCAUUCAGACCUUCUGCCCAUGUGAUGCUGUCUGUCCUGAUGUCAGCAUGUGCAUCUAAGUGGUACCACACGGCACAGCAAAGCAUUAGGUCAACCACAGCUCAGGGCGGUAAAAACAGUGCUGAGUUGAUGGGGAAAUUAAACUGCCGUAAUAUAUUGCAUUUUAUCUUUGCAAGUCAAAUCACAGAAUAUGCUUGGCCUUGUUCUAGAUUAGCCUUAAAACAUCCCAGGUAGGUUAAGACCUCGCCUGGGAGACCCUGCCCCUGACCCCGUGGGGUAGCCCCAUUGCUGGUUUCUUCCAGAGUCUAGACUCUUACGUCGUCAUUGGAGAGAUCAGAAGAGAUGCUGGACCAGAAAGUACUCUCUUCGGGCCCGCGAGCUUUAGGGAACAGGGAAGAACGCUGAAUGGGGAAGCAAGAGACUUGUCUAUCUGGACCAGCCCAGAACCAGCCGUGUGAGCUGUGUGCGCACAGUUUAGAUCACAUUCCUUGCCGUUUCAGGUGGCCCUAAAGGGCUUCUCGUCUCCACACAGAUCAGUCUCCCGGGGUGGCCUUCAGUUUCAGCCUCUGUUCUGCCCCAGCUGUCUGAGGGGUGGCCCCGUGCAGGGGUCAGGUGUCUAGACCCUGUGGUCAGGCUACCUGCUUUGAAUCCUAGGUGUGCCCCUGGCCAGCUGAGCAGGUAACCCCACCUCUCUGGACCUCAGCUUCCCCAUCUGUCAGCGAGGUAGUAACAGGAGUCGCCUUGUAGGGUGGUGGUUAGGAUCAAGUGAGUGGAAACGGCCCUGUCCUUGGUGCCCACAGGGAGUAUGUGCUAGGUGUUUGCUAAAGAACAGCUGUCCCUUCACUUUCAAGCCUGACUUUAAACCCACGUGCUCCACGGCACUUUCCCGAGGCGAUGCACCUGGUUUAAGGAUCAGUGAGCAAUGGUUGAGUUGGGUUAGCAGUUCCGACACUUGAUGUAUCCAGAGAAUGGGAGAGCAGUGAGACUGAUUUUCCUCUGAUGCUUGAUCUGUUCGUGGUCCCCCGCUUGGAUUCCUCCUUCUCCUACCUCUGUGUCCCCAUGGGUGUGUGAGCCUGGGAUGCUGUUCUUGACACCCUCGCCACUUCUCCUGGCAAACUUCCACUCCUCAGGAUGCAGCCCAAACGUCACCUCUUCCGUGAAGCCUUCCCUGACUCCCCAGCUAGGAAGGUGCUCUCUUCACAGCAGUUUUUUUUCUGUUUGUUUUGUUUUUGCGGUACGCGGGCCUCUCACCGCCGCGGCCUCUCCCGUUGCGGGGCACAGGCUCCGGACGCGCAGGCUCAGCAGCCAUGGCUCACGGGCCCAGCCGCUCCAUGGCACGUGGGAUCUUCCCGGACCGGGGCAUGAGCCCAUGUCCCCUGCAUCGGCAGGCGGACUCUCAACCACUGCACCACCAGGGAAGCCCCACAGCAGUUUUUAUAAAUGGCCACAGAAUUCUUCGACAUUCCCCGCACUGAGAGUUUGGGUCCACGUCCCUCCUCUUGCUUCUGGGCGGGCUUCAUCCAACAGAAUCUGUGGCAGGAGAGACACUGGUGUCUUAUGAGGCGGGGCCCUGAAAGACAAUGUGGCUUCCACCCUGUUGGCUGGAACUCAUCCCCUUGGAGCUGUGAGGAAGCCUAGCUCCUUGCAGAGGCCACGUGUACACACCUGGUGGGCAGACCUGGUCAUCCUGUUUCCAGGUGGGAUCCCUCCUCCAUGCUCCAUGCCUCUCCAAAUCCCUAACCCACCGAAUCUGUGAGAAUAAUACGAUGGUUGCCUUAUGCCGCUAAGUCCUGGGCUAAUUUAUUAUCAUCCAGCAAAAGGGACUGGAGCAACUUUCUGUGAGUCCCAAAGGCUUUGUAUAUUCCAAUGUUACAGCACUCAACAGCCCUGCAGAAUCCUCGUCACUGGAUUGCAGGCUCCCCAAAGCCUUUACUCAUCUUUCUGUUCCUGGUACCAAGCACGGUGCCUGGAACUUGGGAGAUACUCAAGAUGCAUGUUGAAUAAACUAUUCCUUAGAGGGUACAGACGUCAAAAAAAGUUACAUUAAUUUGUAAUCAAAUUAUUGUAUAUAACUUAUAUUUAUAAUCACUGGAAGGUUUUGCCCAGUGCCUGAAACUCUGAGUUCUCAAAAGCACACGCACUGCAUGCAGAGCUGUGUCUGCGCAUCCGUGUGGCACAUGUGAACGUCACACACAUCGUGAGUGUUGGUUCCCCUGGACUCCCCCCACCCCUGCCUUGCCAGCACCUGGGUAUUUACUGGGCUUUUCUCUAACCUAGACCAGCUUAGAGAAACGCUUCCUCCUUCCUGCCUGAGCUCAAAGCCCUCCUUGAAGCCGUCACACUGAACUAGCCCAGAACACGGCCGAGAGCUGGCCGUGGCGUCUGACGUCACGUUCUCAGCAGACUCCUCCACGGUGGGCUGAGUACACACCCCUCCCGUAGCAGGGCUCACACAGCGUUCCGUCUUUCUGUGCAGUUUAGUAAGCCAAGAAAGUACAGAGCUGCUGUUGUCACUGCCAGCUUCAGCUGACUAUUUAUAGACGCGUGUUCUGUGCUCUCAUAGAAACGUAGCACAUCCAUGUAUAUUCACACCAAGUUUUUGUCGGGUUAGCAGCUGAGCUGGUUCGACUCUGCAGCUUAGAACUCGGGGCGCUGCGUCGGGAGCCGCUGUUCACUUGCUCCUCCGUGCUGUGCCCGGGAGGAAUCCCUGCCAGCCCCGCUCAGUGCCAAGCAGGAGACUCGUGCUGGCUUCAUUAAUUUUGUUGGAUUUGAGGUACAUCUUUGAUGCAGCAUCUACUUGCAACCCAAGUUUGCCACUUCUCCAGUGUCUAAUCCUGUGACUAGAAUUGCAAGAAGCCACACUGUGCGUUCUCCCAUUCUGGGACCUGGGCAGACUGGUGAAAUCUCACAGUGACUCUGCACCUUCUGCUUGGAGGUGAUACACAACUGGUUCUUGCACAUGCCGUUGACCAAAGCACAUUACGUGGCCAAGUCCAAAGUCUGCGGCGGUGGGGAUAUCUGGUCCUCUUCCAGGGACAGAUGUAAGUAACUGCAGAUGUUGUCUCUUGGUGCUGGGCUGGUACCUUUAAGAUGACGUGAGGAGCCAUAUGCCUUGUAUCCCUCUCACUUGGGGUAAGAACUAAGCUUUUUUCACAUUUCUUAUUUAUUUUCUUUUAAACCAAUUUUUUUUAAAACAGCUUUAUUAUUGAAUAAGCUUUUUUUUUUCUUUCUUUCUUAGCCAUGCAGCAUGUGGGAUCUUAGUUACCUGACCAGGGAUCAAACCCAUGCCCUCUGCACUGGCAGCUCAGGUUCUUAACCACUGGACCACCAGGGAAGUCCCCACAUUUUUUAAAAUUCAGGUAUAAUUGACAGGUAGAACAUUCGGGUAUAAUUCAGGUAGAACAUUGUGUUAGUUUCAGGUGUACAGCCUAAUGAUUCGCUAUUCAUAUACAGCGUGAAAUGGUGGCCGCAGUUAAGUGUAGCUAACAUCCAUCAUCUCACAGUUACAGAAUUUGUUUCUUGUGAUGAGAACCUUUAAGGUGUACUCUCUCAGCAACUUUCAAAUAUGCAGCACAGUUUAUUUACUGUAGACACCAUGCUGUGCAUUACAUCCCAGGACUUAGUUACUUUAUAACUGGAAGUUUGUACCUUUUGACCCCCUCCACCCAUUUCACCUACCCCUGCCUCUGGAGACCACCAGUCUCAUUAAGAACUAGGUUUUCGGGCUUCUCUGGUGGUGCAGUGGUUAAGAAUCCACCUGCCAAUGCAGGGGACAUGGGUUCGAUCCCUGGUCCGGGAAGAUCCCACAUACUGCAGAGUGACUAAGUCCAUGUGCCACAACUACUGAGCCCACAUGCCACAACUACUGAAGCCCACGCUCUUACAGCCUGUGUUCCACAACAAGAGAAGCCACCGCAGGUAUGAUGAACUGGGAGAUUGGGAUUGACAAAUACACACUAAUAUCUAUAAAAUGGAUAACUAAUCAGAACCUGCUGUAUAAAAGAUUAAAAUUAAAUUAAAAAAAAAAAGAGAAGCCACUGCAAUGAGAAGCCUGUGCACCACAACGAAGUGUAGCCCCUGCUCACCACAACUAAAGCCCACAUGCAGCAACAAAGACCCAACACAGCCAAAAAUAAAAUUAAAAUAAAUAAAAAAUAAAUAAAUUUAUUUUUUAAAAAAGAAGUAGGUUUUCAUCAUCUGGUAUCCUCCAUGUGUGUCUUAUAUUUUGAGAAACUGGAGUAUUUAGAGAUUUUAAAAUACUGUAAGUUGCUUAAUGUAGGACAUAUUAGUUAAUCUUUCAAUGAAGCCCUUUCAUGUUGGACAAGCAGUGCGUUUAAUAAACGUUUAUUAUGUGUCAAGGAAAACUUCCUAUUUCCCCAAGGAGAGCCCAAAGCAGCCACGUAGAGUCCAGCUCAGUAGCCUGACUGAGUCCUUAGUGGGGUUUUAACAGCCGCAGUCCAGGUUUUCAAGCAGAAUGGGAUUUCAUACAGGAUACUGGGCACCUCCAAAAUCACAGCCGAGUGCAGGAGUAGCUGGAGAGCUGCUACCAGACUUACCUCCAUAGGUGAGAUUCAGAGACCAGAGGCUGAUCCUGCUGUCACCUCCACUCCCAGCACAGACGCCUCCCAUCCUCACUGGACUGAGGGCUACACACUGGGAUGCUGAGUCCAGCCGUAAACCCCCGCGCCUCCCUGACCCAGCGCGGCAGCUGUCUCAGCAGCACAGAGAGGACCUCUGCUCCUCUUCACCUUCCACGAUGGGUCUCACGCUGCAGUGUGUUCACUUCCAGAACCCUAGCUGCAAGGGAGUCGGGAAAAUUCUGGUUCUGGCUUUCCGGCUUUCUGGGGUUUAGAAAGGUGAACGCCAGGAUGAGAGCACAUGCUGAGGGCCUUCUACCAGGGGCAGCCCACUCACAAGGCUACCUGAGCCCUCUAGCCCAGCAGUUGUGGAACCUUCCAUCUGCCACCUGCACUCUACUAUGGGGGAUAGUGGCUCAAGAUUUCAUCAUAGACAUGGAGAUGAACUCACAACAUUGCUGUAUGAAAUCCAUGGUUGUACUGAGACAUAACAUAGGUGGUAAUCGAUGUCGUUUAUUAAAUUGCAGUACUGCUAGGGCUGUGUAGGAACUCAGACUAAUUUUUUUUUUUUUUUUUUGCGGUACGCGGGCCUCUCAUUGUUGUGGCCUCUCCCAUUGCGGAGCACAGGCUCCGGACGUACAGGCUUAGCGGCCAUGGCUCAUGGGCCCAGCUGCUCUGCGGCAUGCGGGAUCUUCCCGGACUGGGGCAUGAACCUGCGUCCCCUGCAUCGUCAGGUGGACUCUCAACCACUGCGCCACCAGGGAAGCCCUCGGACUAAUUUUUUUUUUUUUAAGAAGAUGUUGAGGGUAGGAGUUUAUUAAUUUUUUUUUUUUUUUGCUGUGUUGGGUCUUCAUUUCUGUGCGAGGGCUUUCUCUAGUUGUGGCAAGUGGGGGCCACUCUUCAUCGCGGUGCGCAGGCCUCUCACUGUUGUGGCCUCUCCCGUUGCAGAGCACAGGCUCCAGAUGCACAGGCUCAGUAGUUGUGGCUCACGGGCCUAGUUGCUCCGCAGCAUGUGGGAUCCUUGCAGACCAGGGCUCGAACCCGUGUCCCCUGCAUUAGCAGGCAGAUUCUCAACCACUGUGCCACCAGGAAAGCCCCCUCGGACUAAUUUUUGAGGCUAAAAUAGGACUCUGAAAAUAGCCUUGCUUUACUGUCAUGCAUCAGGGCUGAAGUGAUGGUGGCAGACAAGUAGGUAAAGGGGGGCAGGAAGGCGAGAGAUUGGGCGUCAACUGAGAAACAUGAGAAGCUCCAUCUGCUCCCAGAAGGGGUGAGGCUGAGUCUCGUUCGGCUGUGAGGGCACAGAAUUCUAUGCGGGAAGGUACUGGAUUUCUCACGCUUCUCUGAGUGAUGCUACCCGGCUGAGAACUGGAGUUUGCAAGCUGACCAACGUCAGCAGGAAGCAGAAUGGCAGGCCUUUCCUUUGGAACAUGCGUCCAUAAUUGCAGUUCACUUUAAAGAUAUUUUCAUGCUGAAAUACUAAGCCAAUGUUGAAGGAACUUCUGCAUCUCAAACGACUCAUCCUGAGCACACAACCACCUUCACUGUUUCGUGUUCUCCUUGGGUCUUCAGUCCUGGGCUCCUGCCAUGAUCAGGCAUGGUGCUGGGUUCUAGGACAUAGGGGUGAGUGGGAAAGACACAGAACUUAGAACAGAUUCUAGUGGCAGAGUGAGACCGUGAACAAGCAGUGAACAAAUAAGAAUCGGUGUGUCCAGGUGCUCUCAAGAAACAAAAGGGGGCAGAGGACCCCUUUAUACUGGAAGGACUGGGAUGGCCUCUCUGAGGGCGAUUACAGCCCCAAGGUGUAUAUAUGAUUAACUAUUGGGAAUCCAAGUUUUCCACAUUGAAUUAGAAAAUGCUCUGCAUAUUGCUUAGAUUUAUUUUUUUCCUUAAAAUAGUAUUAAUAAAAUAUCCUCAUUGCUUAUGACUUUGGGCCUAAAUCCAAUUUUAGGUAACAGGCCAGGAACUAUAUCAAUAUAUUUAUACAAUACUCUAUUACAAUUUGUCAUACAUUGAAUUAACUCUUAUUUUAUCUACUUAAAAUAGGCAUAGUUCAAUGUAGGAUUCAUGUUAUAAAAAUAAAAACGUAUGCAAAAUAAGGUAACACUGUAUACCACAAGAUUUUCCUGGAAGAACAUGAUAGCUUUAGUGCAAAACCCCAUGCCUGUCAGACCAUGAUAAAAUACACUGUAGUGCACUACAGUUCAACCAUUAGAACAUAGAAAUUAGCACUCUUACUUUCCCCCAUCUUUGACCCCUGUUGUGCUCCAGGUUUCUACGGCUGCAUGCCAAAAUUUACUGUCUUAAUGGAUAAACAAAAUGUGGUAUAUCCAUACAAGGGCAUACGCUUGCUGGGUUUCCUCCCUUCCUAGGGUUUAGCAGGGUUGGGUCUGCAGGAAGGCACUCAAGGUCACCACCCACCCCAGUGUGAGUGUACCCAAGGGUAACACUCCUGACAGCUCCCAAUGUUUGGAAUUGUCUUAACUCCAAGAUCCAUUCAUUGGUUCAACAAAUAUUUAUUGAGAAAUGACUAUGAACCAGGCCCCCUGAAAGAUAUUGCAGGUAGGAUAACUAAUAAGACAGAGGAGUGGUGGACACGAACGAGAAGGUUAAUACUAUAGAAGGUGGUGCUGGGUUCAUGUCCCAUAACAGAGAUUGAAGCCAGGAUGAAGGAGGCUUCCUAGAGGUGCUAUCAGCCUGUGAACUGAUUCCUAAAGGGUGAGUUGGGAUGAGCCAGGUGGAGAGGGAGGUGUAGACAAGGAGGCUGGAAGGUUACACUGGGACCCGAUAAUGAAGGUGCUGAAUUAUCCUGCUAAGGGAUUUGUUCUGUAACACAAGUAAUGUGAAUCCCUGUGCCCAGCACAAAUAAUAAGUUCCUGGUAAAUCUUAUCCUUUAUUAUUUAUUCUAUGGGCCAUAGGAAGUCAGUGAAGGAUUUUAAAUGGUGUGUGUAUGUCCAGGUAGGGGCUAUUGACAUAAUGAGAUUUGCAUUUUGCAAGGUCCCUUUGGCUACAAGGAAGAAAACAGAUUGUAGAGGAUCGAUACUAGAAGUAGUGAGGCAGUGCAGGAGCCUGAGCGGGUGAUCUGACCAAAUGUGUUGGUAGCUGGGGUGGGAGAGUGGCCAUAGUGAAGGGAGAAAAGUGGUCCAGUGUUACAGAUGGGAUGGGAUGGGGUGAAGAAAAGGACAUGUCAGGGAUGACACUGGGUUUCCUAGUUGAGCAAAGCAUCUGUGUGGGUGCCCUUCCCCAACAUAGGAAACAUCGGGGAAGGGGAGGGAGAGAAAGGAUGCUUUCCGUGUGUGAAAUGUCCAGCUUUAGUGCCUGUGGGACAUGUGGGCUCCUGGGCUGAAACUAAUGAGAAAAUCUGUGCUAGAAAUACACCUUUGGGAAGUUGGCAGCCUUUCGAGAGUAAUUAAAUCCACAGGAGGUGAUGCAAUGGCCCUGAGAGGAGGGAAGAGGGGCAGGCCUAAGGAGGAACCCUGAGGAGGAAGAGAUCAGGGCUUCAGGGAAGCAGGAGAGGGUGUCUUACAGGAGCCAAGGGAGGGGGUGUUUCAUGGAGAGGAAACCACGUUUCGCUGGAAAUUCAAAUGAGAUUAAGAAUUAAGAAUCAAAAUUCUCUUUACAUCAUUCCCCUAGUCAUUGAACCUACUACUUGCCUUCAUGGGAAUCUCUUGCCCUUUCUUCUCUCUGUUCUUACCAUUUUCUACUUGCUCUUGACCUCAUUUGCCUCCUGAGGUGGCUUAAAUCCCAUAACCAGCCGUUUUAAUAAUGGCCCAACCACUGUUGGCCGACAGUUCUAAAUCAGUGCGUGUUCACCUACACUGACCCUGUGUGCUGAUCAAGAUCCUUUUCUCUCCUUUUUCUCACUUCUGAUCAACCUUGAUGACAUUCAGCACAGCACCUGUUUCAGAUACUUUCUCCUUUCCUCAAAACAGGAAUCCCCACUCAACUCUCAGACCCAGUAAAUAGCCUCACCUCCUGUUGACCAGGAAGAUGGAGGCCCACCAUGUGAGCUUUCUUGGAAACGUCCCCCUUUACACUUUAAGACUUCUUUUAUCUUCUCCAAUUCCUUCCCUCUUCCUAUAGAUUCAAAGCAAAAGGAGUCCUCCUCUCCAAAUCUAACUUACGUGGACCUUGGCCCCUGUCCACCAGUCACCCCUGGCCUGUCUCUAAAGAUGGACUUUCGCUCUACACUGGCCACUGCCUUCCAGCCUAGAAGCAAAUGCAAGUCUUUUGUGGCAGGGACGGUCCCUGGAAUCCCCACCUCCUGGUGUUCAGGACCUUGUGUGCAGGUGUGACCUGUGACUUGCUUUGUAACAACUAGAAUGCGGCAAAGGCGACAGGAUGUACGUGAUUGUGUGGAUGUGAUUAAGGGACAUUGUGCCUGUCUUGGGAGCACUCUCUCUCUUUCGGGCCUUGAGCCGCCACAUUGGGAAGUCUCGGGUCGCAAGGAGCUCACAGUGGCCUCCAGCCAGUGGCCUUCAAAACUGUGCUCCUGGGGCUUCCCUGGUGGCGCUGUGGUUGAGAGUCCGCCUGCUGAUGCAGGGGACACGGGUUCGUGCCCCGGUCCGGGAAGAUCCCACAUGCCGCGGAGCGGCUAGGCCCGUGAGCCAUGGCCGCUGAGCCUGCGUGUCCGGAGCCUGUGCUCCACAACGGGAGAGGCCACAGCGGUGAGAGGCCCGUGUACCGCAAAAAAAAAAAAAAAACUGUGCUCCUUGGUCCAACAAUCCACAAGGAAUCAAAAGCUGCUCAAAGCCACAAAAUCCUGGAAAUAGAUCCUCUCCCCCGCCCCGCCCCUCUGGAGCAUCAGAUGAGACCGCAGCCCCAACUGGUACUUUGACCACAGCUCUGUGAGGCCGUGACGCAGAGCACCCAGCUCGGCCUGGACUCUCGAUCCGCAGAAACUGUGAGGUAACAAAUGUCACUGUUGUAAGCUGUACAUAUGUGGUAAUGCUGGUGACCAGCACUCCAUGAGAUGAGUAACCUGUACCCUACAAAGGCCCUUCCCUAAAACCUCUGGGCUCUGAAACAACCACCCUUCAUUGCAAUAGCUCUUGAAAGGUAAGUAACCCACAUUCCCAGCACCCACCCUCUGGGCGGUUUAAAACGGCCUCAAAUCUUGGUCAUUCCUCCCCAGGGGAGGUGGAGUGUAUUUCCCCACCCCCUUGAAUCUGGGUCUGACGUGUGUCUUGCUUUUACUAACACAAUAUUGUUGAAAUGAUGUUGUGUAACUUCAGAGAUUCAAGAGAUGUACAGCUUUGACUUUAUGUACUUGGGACCCAUCUUCCCGGAAUCCUGCUGCCCCAUGAGAAGCCCAGGUCUUGUGGAGAAACUACCUAUGGGGAGGAAAACCAGGGUCCUGGGUCACCAGCCCCAGCUGAGCGCCCACCAGCAGCCAGCACUAAGUGCCAGGGUGAGAGGGGCCAUGUGGGAAAGUUCCUGCCGCAUCGAGCCUCUCAGGGCCCCAGCCCCAGCCGACACACGUAUGCAGCUGGAGAACCACCAGCGAGCGGGGCCUCAUCAACCUACAGAAACGCAAUGAUGAUGCUAAUUUUUAAAACGCUGUAAGGUUGUUUGUUAAUUAGCAGCAGAUAACUGAAACACUCCCAAUGCUAAUCUUCACUUCUCUGGUGAAGCAGUUCCUUUAAGGAUCAACAGUGACCUCAGCUGAAAAUUCGGGGGCCUCCUCUUCGUCUUUUUCUUUCUGGACGGCUCCAAGGCAUGUGGCGCUCCUGAAACUCCUGCUCUUGGUGCUUCCGUCUCCUUUCAUUUCCAUGGCCUCCCCUAGGGCUCAGCCUCUUCCCCUCAUCCCUUGAAUGUGGAGGUUCCCAAGGUGAUGUGCUUGGACAUUCUCUAUAAACUCUCUUCUCGGUGGUUUCCUCCAAUCUCAUUGCUUUAAAUGUCACCUGUGGGGCUUCCCUGGUGGCACAGUGGUUAAGAGUCCGCCUGCCAAUGCAGGGGACACAGGUUCGAGCCCUGGUCCGGGAAGAUCCCACAUGCCGCGGAGCAACUAAGCCCAUGUGCCCCAAGUAUUGAACCUGCGCUCUAGGGCCCACAAGCCACAACUACUGAAGCCCGCGCACCUAGAGCCUGUGCUCUGGAACAAGAGAAGCCACCGCAAUGAGAAGCCUGCGCACCACAACGAAGAGUAGCCCCCGCUUGCCACAACUAGAGAAAGCCUGUGCGCAGCAACGAAGACCCAACGCAGCCAAAAAUAAAUAAAAAUAAAUUUAAAAAAUAAAAAUAAAUGUCACCUCCAUACAGAUAAUGUCCAAACCUGCAAGAGGCAUAAUGAUUAGAGUCUCCAAGUCUGGAAAUGGGCCAGACAGGGCUUUAAUCCUGCAUCUGCUGGUGACAUUGACGCCAACCAUGAAAGUGGUUUAACCCCUCUAAACCUCCAUUUUCUCUUCAAUCUGGAUAAUAAUAGCAUCUUGCUCAUGGGGACAUCACUCUAGCCUGCCCCAGCACGAGUACUCGGUAAAGCAGAGCUUUCCCAUGCUUUACAGUUUUUCAUUCCACUGCUUACGUAAGAAAAAAUACUUGUACGCAAGCCAGGGUAAGUGGAGGUGACUGAGGUCAGAAAGAAUUGGCCGCAGGGCUCUGGCCUCUCCAGCCCCUGCCCAGCCCCACCCUAGGGGCUGACGACUAUUCAGGCCCUCCCCCCACUGCUGGCACGCCAGUGGGAAGCGGGGCAGUAAAUGGUAACAAUUUUUAUCCUCAUCUCUGGUCCUGACAUCUCUCCAGGGCUCCAGCGCCACCGUCACAAUGCUGCCGGGUUCCACCCACGUCCUCUACCCCAAAGACCAGAGGGUGAUUCUCGAAGCGAGGUCCCUGGUCAGCAGCCUCAGCCUUACCGGAGAACCUGUUAGACCUGCAAAUUCUCAAGCCCCGGCUCAAACCUACCGAAUCAGCACCUCUGGGGAUGGGCCAGCGCUCGAUCGGUAUGUUAAUGACCCCCCACCAGGUGAUUCUGAGAACCAGCGACCAAUAGUGAUUUUAGCUGAGUAGCUAUGCCUGCUCCGCCACCCCGCCCCUAGGUGGGUUCAUUAGUCCCACUACCUCCCGGCUACGUGGGCUCAAAACCUCAGAUCCAUCCUUGAUGCCUGCACCUACCAGCCGGCCCUGUCUAACCAGUCAUCAGCCCUGACUUUCCCUCGUCACUCAAAUCCUUCUCCUCUCUGUCCCCACCGCCAUGCCGCCAGAGGAGGAGCUGGCCAGCCUCCGCUAAACCAAGUCACUCGAAAUCCAAUUUGACUGCAACCAAUUUCACCAACAGCCAGUUAGGUUAAAGCAAGUUUAAUUUAAAAAUUAAAUUAAUUAAAAUUGGAUUCACAUUUAAACAAAUAUUAAUUAAACUGUAACUAAAAUUUAAUUCUGUAAUUAAAGUGAAUUUAAAUUUAUAAUUUUAAAAUAUUAAUGAAAUAGAAAUUUAAUUUCAUUUAAACAUUAAUUUCAUAGUCAAAUCUGCCCAUUAUUUUCCUUGUGACCUGUACCACUUCUAAAUUCACUCUGUCCUUACUCCCCCAGAUGGUUGAUAAAUAUCUAAUUCUAUUCUUCUAGUUGCUCUACCCUUUAAUUUUCUUACAUUCAGCUUCCGAAUUGUCUGGAGUUUGCUGUGAUUCUUGGUGUAAAGUGAAGUUCACAUCACCUGCGGGAGGGAAAAGGACUCCUCGUUACGAUGCUAAGUUCUGGGGUCUCGUUCCCCCACAGGCCUCGCGUAAAGAUCAAAGGCGAUAAUCAGGCAUCUGGGUGGUUGUCCCGUUUUCUACGUGGGAUGGACUUUCUCUAGAGCUUCUCAGUAGUAGCUUGAAAUGGGCUUAUUUGCUAGAAACUCAGGCAUACGUGUUCUUGGACAGGUUCCCCUGGAAAUCCUUAAACGCUCAAGACUGCGUGCUGGGAAAUACACCUUCUGGGUCCUUCCAGGGAGGGAGGAGAUGGACAAAUGUCACUCUAGACCGGAGAUGGUAGGCCCGCCCUCUGCCUGGACAGAUGCCCGGGGAGCAGGGGCUGGGGAGACAGACGAGGGUCGGAAAUCAGGGGCUGCCCCUCCCACUGCUGGUCCUGAGGGGAAGCAUCACAGAGACAAGGAAGCCGGAGCCAGGAGGGACGUACGGGGCGGGUCCAGGCCACACGGGCUGCGGCAGCCGCGGCAGGAGGCAGGGCCAUCUACUGAGAGCUCCGCUCCUGUGCAAGGAGGUAGGGUGCCCUCGUGCACCGGGAGAGCAAGGGCACCGAGGACAGAGCACUGGGCCUGAGCCGGGGGCUGCCGUGGUGCCGGCGAAGAGGACCUGCUGAAGGGGCUUCUCGGGCUUGAUGGAGAUGCAGCUAAGACCCAGAGCCGCCUCCGCUGUGCUCCAGGACCCUGGGGGCCGGGUCGGCAGGGGUACCCCCAGCAGCUGAUGCACCAAGAGGAACCGGAAGUCCUCCCAACCCCAGCUUCAUGGCAGCUGGCGGCCCUGGGGCCGGGCAAGACCAGAGGGCUAAGGAGGACAGCAAGAGGGGCCGGACUAGACACGCCUCCCUCUGUGGACCCGCGCCACACCCCAGAUGCCACGCCCGGAGGACUAGGGGCAGGAGGGGGCAGCUGAGAGACUGACACUUCCCAAAGAGAAGGAGUCGCCUGGAAAAGACCCCUGAAAUCUGUAGACACAGAGGACCCCCGACCGCCCAGCAGCACCCAGAGGGUCUGGCUGGACGAGGGGCAGGAAAAGAACUGCGCAUCUUUGCACAUCUGAGCAGUGGACGCGUGUAAAUCAGCAGCCCCGCUACCUGAUCAAAGUAGAAGAGACAUCUAGAAGCUUGUAGAAAUGCAGAAAGGUCUGGAAAUUUCCUACCAUAAAUGAACUGUUCAUUUUCCCCCAUAAAAUAGUGCCAACUGGCCUAAAUUAAUUUUCAACUUAUUAAAUAAUGAAUAAAUAAAAAUGCAAAGUAUGAGUAAUGUAUGAAAAAUACUGGUUCAACAAAACCCAUCUAUCCAUAGGCCCAUUUAUAAUAAAGGACACACCCUCAUCCUGCUGGCCCUCCCACCAUCCCCCCCAGCCCCGCCCACUUGAUCCCCCCAGAGGGCCCACUCUCCUGGGUUCUGCCCCAUCAUUCCCUCGUUUUUCUUAACAGUUUUACCACGUGUUUGUUUCUCUAAACAAUAGACAUAGUUCAGCUUUGUAAGGCUUUCUUUUUUGUUUGUUUGUUUUUGCUGUACGCGGGCCUCUCACUGCUGUGGCCUCUCCCGUUGUGGAGCACAGGCUCCGGAUGCGCAGGCUCAGCGGCCAUGGCUCACGGGCCCAGCCGCUCCGCGGCAUGUGGGAUCUUCCCGGACCGGGGCACGAACCUGUGUCCCCUGCAUCGGCAGGCAGACCCCCAACCACUACGCCACCAGGGAAGCCCUGUAGGGCUUUCUUAACUUGCUAUAGGUAGCCUUUGCUGUAUGUAUUCUUUGGGGACUUUUUUUUAAUUGAAGUAUAGCUGAUUUAUAAUGUUGUGUUAGUUUCUGGUGUACAACAAAGUGAUUCAGUUAUACAUACAU
Molecule: long non-coding RNA, 18828 nt
Organism: Orcinus orca (killer whale)
Lineage: Eukaryota; Metazoa; Chordata; Mammalia; Artiodactyla; Delphinidae
Exons: 3
Source: RefSeq, a predicted model, not a curated record